UGCUCUUGACAAACUUGGGAAUGACAGUGUUGAAGAGUUUCAGCUCUCCUUCCAACAUACUGACUGGCAACCUUGGCAGACAGCACAGAUGAUCGAUCUGCAGUGUCCCCACUGAAGGUCUUCCUCAUCUGGGUGUGAAUGAUGUCAUGUGAUCCAAUGGCAGGUGCCACUGACGUCUCUUCACUUAUAUUCCUGACGCACAUCUCUUUACAGAUUUUAAAAUAAUUUCUGUUCAUGAAAUUUGCGUGUACAAAAAUCCAAGAUGCUAUCAUUUUAGACCUGAUGAUCCAUUUGCAGAGUAAGUGUAUAUAACUGCUUGGUCUCUCCUUUCCUGGGAGCCCUCUGGAGUCAGCGUCCUAGGACCGAGAGCUCCUCGGUGUUUACUGUAAGAUCAAAGACAAGAAAUUCUGUUUACAGUGUGUAUUCAGUGAGACUUCAGAACAGUAGGGGCACAACUGCCCUGAAAGAAAAAAAAAUGUGUUUUGAAAUACUUGUGAUGUGUUAUAUUUAUUUUGGUUUUUCGGUGCCUUUCUUUUAAAGCCACAUUACUCAGAUCCUGGAUCGUACAUACUGAAAAUGUGUGUGGCUUGGGUGUGUGGCUUAAGCGUUUCCAGAAGUUGCACCGCUCGGAAUUUGUUUUCACGUCAAGUUCAAUGCUGAAGUUAGAAACAAAGAAAGAGAAAGGGGGGAGGGGAAAGAGGGAGGGAGAGAGGGAGAAUAAAGGAAGGAAAAGAACUCUUCCUUUCAGACAAGUCCCUUAAGGAUAGUCCAACAGUUAGCUCUCAACUCCCUCUCCAGGCUGUGUGUUCUGGGAGCUGCAGUCACCACUCUGGCACGGGCAAACAGGAGCCAUCACUCUCUGAGGCACAUAGCAGAGUCAGUCAGCCACUCUGGGGCUCCAGGUAUAAUCCAGGUCCAGAUGAAAGGAACUCUGCAGGACCCCACUGUGCUUAUAAUUAGUUCAAGGAUUGAUGAUUCCCAUUUAUAUCUGAGGUUUUUACGGUUUUACCAGUCAGGAAAAGGUCCUUAUGAAAUUGCUUCUUUCAGGGUUUCCUUCCCUCUCUCUUGGAUUAUCAUCAUUAUGUCCUAACUUUCUGUCUGUCUGUAUGUCUGUCUGUCUGCUUGUCUGUCUGUAUGUGUUCCCAGGUGACUUGAACUCUAAUUAAGAUUGCCCCUAGGAGCUGCCGAGAUGGCUCAUCGGGUAAAUGCUUUGGCUACCAAGUCUGCUUCAGUUCCUGAAUCCACACAAUGAAAUGAGAGCCUAACUCCUUCUUGUCAACCUUGGAGCUCCUGUAAAUCCCACAGACACUGGUGGCGCAUGCAUGCCUCUCCCCGGGAGGAUUAUGAAUUUGAGGAUGGUUUCGGCUAUGCAACUGAGUUUAAGGACAGUCUUGGUUUCCUCAGUAAGACUGCCUCAAAAGCAAACAGAAAUGAAUUUCAGAUGAGGAACAUUAUUCUGGGUUGUUGUUUUGUUGUUGUGUGUGUGUGUGUGUGUGUGUGUGUGUGUGUGUGUGUGUGUGUGUGUGUUGAGAGACUGUACUGGCUGGUUUGUGUAUCAAGUUGUGUAUCAACUUGACACAAACUGGAGUUAUCACAGAGAAUGGAGCCUCCCUUGAGGAAAUGCCUCCAUGAGAUCAAGCUGUAAGGCAUUUUCUCAACUAGUGAUCAAGGAGGGAGACCAAGCCCCUUGUGGGUGGUGCCACCCCUGGGCUAGUAGUCUUAGGUUCUUUAAGAAAGCAAGCUAUGCAAGCCAGGGGAAGCAAGCCAGUAAGUAACAUCCCUCCAUGGCCUCUGCAUCAGCUCCUGCUCCCUGACCUGCUUGAGUUCCAGUCCUGACUUCCUUUGGUGAUGAGCAGCAAUGUGGAAGUGUAAGCUGAAUAAACCCUUUCCUCCCCAACUUGCUUCUUGGUCAUGAUGCUUGUGCAGGAAUAGAAACCCUGACUAAGACAGUCAGUGUCUCAAUAUGUAGCCAAGAAUGUCCUGACUUUGCUUUGUAGCCCAGGCUAACCUCAAACUCCUGACCCUCCUACCUUCCUGAGUCUUCUUAGUGCUGAUAUUGCAAGUACACAAGUGUGUACCACCAUACCUGGCUGUUUUCUGUUUGUUUGUUUGUUUUUGUUUGUUUAAAAAUCUGUACCCAAAAAUUAUGUGGAAUGACUCCAACAUAUAAUGGACUUAGCACAAAUUUCUUCAAAAAUUAUUUUUAGCGUUGGUAGGGACCACACCCAGAUCUUAAUACCCAGCCUCAUCAUGCCUUCUAAAAUGGAAGUCUCCAUUUCGAUAUCUUCAAUGCAGCCCAUCUUCUCAUCUUCAGCCAACAUCCACUGGUGUCUGGGGCUUCCCCUUCACUCUUCCUUUUACUUCAUACAUACUAAGUAGGGACCAGACCCAUGUGUUUCUCUCCCCUUUCAAGUCCCACAGUCAGCACUAGCUGUGAUAGAAUUGUACCACACUUACACUUUAAUAAGCACUUUCUUCUAAUGAGAGAACUGUCAGCCUCUGGAUAUACUUUUACACAGAACCAAAAUCCAUCACUUAAAAUAUGUAGGCAUACAGCUAUGCUUCCUUCUUUUCACAGAUUUUAAGAUUUAUUUGUAUGUGUGUGUGCCCAUGUAAACUUAUGUGCACUCUGUGUGUGUGUGUGUGCAGGGGCCCUUAGAAGCCAGAGGGCAUCAGAUUUCCUGAACUGGAACACAUGUGGUUGUGAGCUGCUGGGCUGAGAUCUGAACCCUAGUCCACUCCAAGAGCAGUUAAGUGCUCUUGAUUUCUGAGCUAUCUCUCUAGCGUCUUCUUUUCUUUUGUUAAGGCUUGCUCAAUGUCCCUGGAUUGGUGAGUUAUCAAUAGCCUGUGGUUAUGGCCUGUGAUAAUUGCCUAAGCUGGAUGUGGUGGUGUGCUCGAGGAAACUCACGAACCUAAGGCAGAAGAAUCUCAGACUCAAGGCUAGCCUGGACUACAUUGUAAGGCCUUGUUCUAUAGUACAUAAAAGACAUAGUAGGUAAUUAAAACACAGUCUAGUCUGUUAUACAAAUAACCUGAGCUAGAUAUGGCAUCGGGGAUGCUCCUGUGAGACGGGCAGGCACACAACAGGUUACAUAUAAGGUGACCCAGGGAGACUGCACAUGUGUCUUGGUAACUGUGUCUUCCUGUUUGAGUAGGGAGUUAGAUGCGAUAGAACCACAGAAACUGCACUUGGGUAGCUAAGUCUCCUGGUUAUGAAGGGAGUUGGAUGGGGAAACUGAAUGGCGCUGGUGCUGAUCUUGGCACCCGUGUCUCCCGAGGGUUGGCAUGUCCCUUUGUGGUUUAUCUGCCUUGAGGCUCUUCAGCUGGGUUCUUUUUGCUAAACCAGAAAAUAAAGUUCCCUGGAACUUUUACAACAAUACACAUGUGACACUACAAAAUUAUUUCUUUGAAAGAUUCUGCUUUCGGUAUACUGUCACUUGCCCUGUGGCUUUGAACUCUCCUCCUUGGCUGUUCAAGAGGGUCACUGGGAAAGCACCCUAAGUGGGAGAAUGGGUACAUGGUAAUUCAGGAGGGGAAAAGGGUCACUUUACCAUAGAUAUGCUAUCCAUUCAUGAAUAUUCAUAAGACCUUUAACAAUCGACAGAGUGGGGAUUGGAGAGAUGGCUCUGUUGUUCUUACAGAGCACCCAGGUUAGGCUCCCGGACCCCACAUGAUGAGUUACAAAUCUGUAACUCCAAUCCCAGGGUAUCCCAUGUGCUCCUGCAGCCUCUGAUAGGACUAUGCCUGCUGAUGGUACCCAGACACCUUCAGGCAAAAACUCACACAAAUAAAAUAGUAGGAAUCCACAGAGCAGAACUCAACGGACUGCUCCACUCACUUUGGGUCGUCUUGCCCAGUGCGUCUGGAGUGUAUGCUUUGUUCUGUUUCCCUAGACAAGCCAUUGCGCGAGCUCUCUGUAUCUCUCCACUGGAAUCUUUCCUUUGAGGACGCCAGAACAGAGAGGAGACCUUCAGCUUGGUGACAGUCCCCUGUACUCCAGAGGAUCACGUGGGCCCAUGUCUUUGAGACCAGCCAGUCUGGUAAACAGAGAGAGAACCCGUGUUAAAGACAAAAGAAGUGAAGCGUGCAGCUGACUUUGGGUUCUCAUUGCAGAAGCUCAGCCCUUGGCUGCCUAACUCAGGAUCGCUGCCAUGAGUUUGAGGCUAGCUUGUCUACGUAGCAAGUUCCAGGCCAGCCAAGGCUACAUAGAGAAAGCACCAAAAAGGACCGGGGAGAUGGCUUGCAAGGUUCUUUUGGUAAACCUGAUGGCAUGAGUUAGAUCUGCAAAAUCCGUGAAGUGGAUGAAGAGAACCAACGUCCACAGGUCAGGUUAUCCUUUGACCUCUAGACUGUGGCACAUACCUGGCCACGCAUUUGCAUGUAUGUCAGCGUGCACACAUAAAUAGGUGGUGAAGAGGUCAACAAAAACACAAGAGACAGGCUGGGCUGUGGUGGAGUACGCUUUUAAUUUCAGCAGGAAGCAGAAGCAGGAGAAUGUCUGGGUUCAAGGCCAGCCUGGUCUACAGAGUGAGUUCCAGGUUAGCCAGGGCUACAGUAAGAGUAGUCUUUACAAAAGCUUGAGUAGAUCCUGACAUUCCCUUGCUUAAAGUUCUUCAAGGAUAUUCCUCUCAUCCCACUCGGUAGGCAGGGUGCAGGUGAAUGUGGUGCCUUUCGAAGCCUCCGGCUUCCUUCUCUGUUCUAUCAGCUGGUGGCUGCUCUGGCCUGCUCUGACUCACGUUUCUCCUUUAUUCUUAGAGGGAAUUCUCCACAUCAUUACCAGAUUCUUCACUCCUGAAUGAUUUCUUCAGGGAGGUCUGGGGACAUCCCUUUAUGGGGAGUUCUACACUCAAUGCUUUGAGAGUACUAAGAAGUGGAGUAUCAGUCCCUCAGCCAUCAAACAGCCUCCAAAAGCCCUCUUCAUUUCCCGGAACUAAACUCCAGUCCUCACAGUGCCCACUCGGUGCUGCACGGCCUCCCAUCUCUACCACUCGCCUGCUAUCUAGUUUCUCCAGCAUCUUAGGGUGCAGAGAGCCUUCCCAUCUUGGGACUUUGGCCCUUGCUAUUCCUUCUCUCUGGAGCCCCUCUCCCACAUGCUUACACAGCUCACCCAUUUCUGUUUUCUAAAUGUCAUGUUAGUGAUGCCACCUCAUUUAAAGCAGCAUCCUGUCAGCCUGCCGCGCUGUUUUCUUCUUUCCAUAACCUAUUUUCCCCUCUACUCCAAUGUUGGCUUUGUGAUGGAGAUCGUCCCUCUGCUUUAUUUUACCAACAAAAGUUCUCUCUCGUUCUGGAUGUCUGUUGGUAGGAGAUGGUCUUACUUGGUAGCCUAGGCUGUCCCGGUGCACACUAACUGUAGCCCAGGCUGGUCUUAAAUUCAGAGCAAUCUUCUUGCUUUGACUUCCAGAGUGCUGUGUAAACUGCCACACCCAGUUUACGGGCACAUUCAAAGCAUUGUUUUCUUAUAAAAGAUGCCUACUCUGUUUACCAAAGGAUCUGUUUUAGUGCCUGACACACAGUAGGAAAUGAGCACUUUGGGGAAUUAGAUUCAGGCCAAUCGGAAGGGAUGACGAUGAGGAGCAAAGAGCGCACUUAGCUUUAAUACUUAUUUGUUUGCCUUUUAUUUAUAGUUAGGCUAGUCAAAGGCAGCAGUGCGUUAUGGGAAAGUACAGAACAGUCAUCCGGGAUAAUCUGUCACCUUUGGACCAGCAGAAUCCUUGUUUAUAUACAUAGUGUUUGUACCUCUGACAUCACGGCUGGUACACAAUCCAUCCUGAAGGCCAGGCCUAUUAGUAAGAUGUGUUCAGUGCUUACUGGAGCAAACUUUAGGCCUUUCUGAAUGUGAACAACUGAAGAAGAACAUUUAGUGGGCACUGGGAUGAAGACUGAGUCGCCUUUAAAGUUAUGUCUUCUACACAGUCCUCUUCAGGCAAAAAUUAGAAUCGAGGGGCACAGAACUCGAUUGAAAAACCUUCCGGUCAGCUGUACUCAGGGUUGAGAGUUCCUGUCUUUAGGAAUUAAAGUGCGUGUGUGAAUUUGUUAUACACUUAGACUUGAAGGCCCUGCCCACAGCUCAGCAGGAAAGGGUAAAGGAACACACUGGAGGCAAAAGCAGCCCACAUAAUUGCACUCAAGUUUUUGAAAAUGAGGAAGAGGGAGGCGGAAGCAAGAUGGCUCAGCCGGUAAAGGGCACCAACUGCUCGGGCUGAAGACCUGAGAUCAGCCCUGGGGUCCUCCAUGCUGUAAGAAGAGAACUGUCCCCUGGUCCCCAUACACAUGGUGUGGGACACGUAGGUAUGUGUGCAUGCAAGAAAAGGAAAUAAAAAAUGCAAUUUGCAGACAACUGGAAAGUCAGUUUCAGGUCUUUUGAGUUGGAUUUUGGCUGGGGCGUCAUCUCAGGGUGACGGGACUCUGAGGUGUGUGAGACAGAGGUCCUUUGUUUUGGGUAUGCUUGUUCUGCUCCUGUUCUUAGUUUGGGUUCUCUGCUCCAGGUAACAGUGCUUGACUGUGAGUGAAUGUUAACUCUUCCAUAAGCCAAUAUGUUCCCCUCUAGUAAUCUGAUUAGGUAGAAGGAAGGAUGGAAGGCAGGAGGAAAGACAGAGGCAAGCAGGCAAGGGAAACAGUGCGUUUAAUACCAUUUAUUUAACAUCUGGUCCUGAGAUCCAAAGACCUUGGUCGUGUUGUUGCUUUGGUCUGAUCACUUAACAUUUAGAGUUUAUUCUCCAAAGCAGGGCCAGUUAGCCUCUUCUGUGAUUGGCCAGGUAAUAAGACUUUUAGAAACAGCAGGCCAUGGAUAUGCUCUCUGUGCAAUCCCAUGACUCUUCCACCCAACCACCUCCAUUUUCUGUCUGGAGUAGAUUGAUGCUAGAACUGUUAACAUGUUAACACCGUCAUGCCAAAGGAAGCUGGGCCUGGUGCUCACACCGGUCAUCCCAGGAUUCAGAACACCGAGAAGGGGAGAUCUCAAGUUGGAGUCCUUCCUGGGCUGCAGAGUGAGACUCCUCUAUUUCAAAAAGAAAGAGAAAAAAAGAAAGAAAGGAAAGGAAAGAAAAAAAGUCAAAUCAAACAAACACCCACUGAGAAAUGCUAAAGGAAAAUCCCCAAGGGUUCAAGACUUAGUGCGGGUCACGAAGGUCAGGACCAAGCUCCACACCCAGCCCUGCCAGAGCGUUUUGCAUAGGAGGAGGAAAGGGCUUGUAAAGGAAAGUGCAAGGCUUUGUCUAGUGGACGCACUUCGAGAAAUAUUCAAAACUUGUUUUGCAUUCUUGUUUUGCAUUUAGUGUAGUUGAUGUCAUCUUAUUUUAUAAUCACAACACAAAGAUGCUAUUUCCAAGGGACUUUAAUGCUCCUGUGACAUUUUUCCAUUCCAAAUAUUAGGACAGAUUUUAGAGUUUCUGCCUUCCUUAAUAUACAUGAAAAACAAUGAAAUGCAGGGGGUGGGGGGAGACAAUUAGGUUGUUAAUUUAGCACUUACAGUGCAGCUUGUCGCUUUUUCUCAAUUAGCGUAUGAUUAAAGCAUUUCCAUUUCUUGUUCCUCAAGUUUUCUGUAUCUAAGGUAGAGCAGUGACAUGUGUACUAAUUAUCUUAAGCCCUUUGAAGUCCUUGGGCGUCUGUAUUGUGUCAUUAGAGUAUGCCUUAAAGACUAUUUUUCUCAUUAUACCAGCGAAAGCUAGCCGAAUGUAGACCAGCGAUAAACAACCCUUCGGAGACUUACUCCUGAGAGCAGAGGCGCAAGGCAGCCCUGGGAAGGUUCCGUAGGCAGCAACAAGCACCCAGGUGGAGAUGGUGAUGCAAGAGGAAGCAAGAGGGGUAGUGCGCCUGCGCACCAGGCAGGGCACGGCCAGGUACCGAGCCAACAGCAUUUAUGGCAAUGACAAAGGAGAGAAAGGCGAUGAAGAACCAAAUGAAUGUUUCAGGCAGAAGAAACAUCGUCUGUCAGAGUUACUUAAUUUCUAGAGGGUGAGCUGGGAGGACAGAGGACAUGGCUCAGCAACUGACUGCUAGCCCAGUGUGUGCCGGCGAACCACAGCCCGCACAAGACUGUGGAACUAGUGGCUGGAGAAUUACCUUCCUCAUGAGCAAGGAUGGGAGGGCAGCCACGGAUGACGGCCCAUGUCUAUAAUCUUUGUGUUCAGGAAGCUGAGACUGGAGGAUUGGGUUGGGCUUGAGGUUAGCCUAGGCUACGUACUACAAAACCUAUUUCAAGUCAAAUCAACAAUAACGUCAAAGACUGGGCUACAGAAAGGCUGGUGCCUGAUGCUAGUGUUACUGUAGAGAUGUGAGUUUCAGGAGUUCAGCUGUUGGAAUUGCCCCUUUCCCUUCAGGGUACCCUCGGGAAUUUUUAUGUGAGUGUUCAAACACUGUAAAGAUUGGUAACAAUUGUAAUUUGAUCCUGAGAGGUAACACAAGGGGGACGCUCCUGAGUCAUUCAGUUCCUAAUUGAAGUUCUUGGCCUUGAGAAUAUUCUUUAAGGAGAGACUCAAGACUAAGUUCAAAGCCUUUCCUUAAAUUUCAGCAGGUCCCAAAGGAGACCAGCGAGCUGCAGAUGCUUGUUGCAUGGUUUCCUUCCAGGAGACUACUCUGAAUUCAUUCUGAAGUCAAGCAUGUAGACUAAGACAGCAACGGUGCAGAAGACUGGUGCCUGGUACCCCUCUGGGCAUGUGCAGUUCGAGGCCAUGCAGCUUGAGGAGCCUUGAUCCACAGUCCGGCUAUCAGGCUCUGCCCAAAUCCAAACAGCCUCUGAGCAGACAGGCAUUUAGAGUGCUGUAUUCGUCUGCUUAGAUCUCUCUCUUUUUUUUUUCCUUCUUUUUUCUUUUUUCGGAGCUGGGGACUGAACCCAGGGCCUUGCGCUUGCUAGGCAAGCGCUCUACCGCUCUACCGCUGAGCUAAAUCCCCAACCCCUGCUUAGAUCUCUUAUGGCAUGCGUCUCUGCAAUCUUUUAAAUUUGUUUCUCUGCCUACCAGCAAACAGCCCAGAGCUUUCAAUCACUCGAGGGGACUAUUCUUUAUGGGAUAUUUGUGUUCUCCUGUUUGGAUUUUUAAUUAAAAAAAAAACUCAUUGAA
Rattus norvegicus (Norway rat) is the source of this 9056-nucleotide non-coding RNA. The record is from RefSeq and is a predicted model, not a curated record. Lineage: Eukaryota; Metazoa; Chordata; Mammalia; Rodentia; Muridae.